AUCUUUACCUUAAACGAGUUUAACUUAAAUGUUCUUAACUUAAGGUAGUGCGAACGGGGUAUUACGCUCCUUAGUCAUAUUGCAAGACGAAACCUUUUCUACAAACCAAAUAUGCUAAGUCAAAUUAAUCCUCUAGCGUAAUAAUUUAUAGUUAAUUUUAAUAGUUUUAAUAUUUUAAAUCGAGGUCAUAUCACAAUCUAUUGAAACUUUAUCAUCUUCAGACUUCAUUCGAAACUCACAAGAGAAGAGCACAAACAUACACAAUCUUCCCGACUACAAAACCGAGGAUCGGAAGAUCUCUGUUUUUUUAUCCAAUAUAGCUUCGUGCGGCUCAAGAGAUAUUCAUAGACAGCGUUGGGGAUGGUAUGAGCCGACUGCAUUAAUCAGUCGGACUCUUCAGCCCAAAUUCCACGGUUGCAUUUCUCUGUGGGAAGCUUCCUACCAUGAUCGUAAAGAGGACAGUUCCUGUCAGCCUGAAGCGACCACUACUCGGACUGACACCGUUGAGACUUCUAUCCUUCGGCUAUUCAUCCCUUCAAUAUAGUACGCUCUGUUGGAAUUUGACUCUUAGAGGAUUCGUAUCUCGCGCAGAGCAUACGGCGGACUAAUUCUUAAUCUCAAUCUGCAGGGAUUGGACAGUCGACUUGCGAUCCGCAGGGCAUUCCAUCAGCAAGUUACAAAUGCAGUCAUGCUCAGUGUUCCUAAUGGUUGCACUUGUACAACUUGGCACAAUAUCUAGACUACCCGAUUAUCCGUGCAGUAGCGUCUAGCAAUAUCGGAUAAGCAGACAGUGGCCGCGCUUAUCCGAUAUUGCUAGACGACUGUACUGAAAGUAAUCUGAAGUCCGGAAAGGAAUAGCUUUUGCUUGAACGUACUUCAUAGAAGACCAGAUUCUCCAAAGCCUGGCUCAUCUGCGCCUUGGAGACGAUAGCGUUCCUCUGGAAUGUUUCAAGCUCCCACAACGGCGCAUUCCCAGACUAAUCCUAUUUGAUGUUCCGCGAGACAUCAAUAAAGUGCUCUGUUGUCGGCCGGAUUGGCCGCAUGGAAACGCUUCAGAUUUCCACUCUAGAGGACCCAAGUUCGGGUUUUGGGUCGCAUUCCUUGAAAAUGUUUAUCAUGGGAUCCGGGCCCGGUCCGUCGAUCCCCGUUCUCCAUAAUUCGACUGACCCUCUACAGGGGUGGGCAGCCUGUGGAAGGAUUGUUUCGCCCGCCACUUAGUAUUCUUCCAAAAUGGAAAGUGGCGUCAUCUAUUGACAAAAAAGGAUGCUCUGUUAACC
This 1277-nucleotide long non-coding RNA is filed under the name Androctonus crassicauda. The record is from RNAcentral. Lineage: Eukaryota; Metazoa; Arthropoda; Arachnida; Scorpiones; Buthidae.